Long non-coding RNA from Medicago truncatula (barrel medic), 1130 nucleotides. RefSeq lists it as uncharacterized. The record is from RefSeq and is a predicted model, not a curated record. NCBI's taxonomy places the organism in Eukaryota, Viridiplantae, Streptophyta, Magnoliopsida, Fabales, Fabaceae. The transcript is spliced from 6 exons.
GGGCGGAUGAUAUUUUUCAUUUUCGCGCACAAAACCAAAAACCAAUAUUGGUGUAUUACACUCUCUCUCCUUAAUCUGAAAAGCUUCCACCGUCCCAAACCACCGUCCUCUCUCUCGAAACCACCGUCCUUCAAUCCACCGCAUAAGCACUCUCUCUCUCGAAACCACCAUCCUUCCACUCUCUCUCUCUCUCUCUCGAAGCAAGCUUCAGUCACUCUCUCUCUCUCUCGAAAUCCAAACCAGCUUCCGUCAAAAUCAAAGCUAACUAUCAAGACCUAGGAACUAUGGAUCGGAAAUGAGUGUUUGCGAAUCGAGCGUCAAAGGAGUACAUAGAAGGAGUGGAAGAGUUUGUUGAGACACAAGUUUAAGAAUAAGCUGAUUUUUGCACCGGUCAAUGUAGGAUGGAUGCAGGCUAAAUCAUUGGGUGUUGCUUGUCAUCAAUCCCGGAGCUGAGAUGAUAUAUUAUAUGGAUUCAUUGCCGGGGGGACAUCCUAACAUUGACGUUGUAAGAAAAAAGUUCAUGAAUGCCAUGUGUAUUUGCCGUUGCCUACAUCCCAAGUUAAAAUCAAAUUCAAGUAUAAUCCCAUGGAUAGAAAUAAAGUGUCCUAUGCAAACUAAUGGCAUUGACUGUGGUUAUUUUGUCAUGCGAUUUAUGAAAGAGAUAAUAUUGGCAAAUCAAGACAUGAUCCCCGAAAAUUACUUUGGAGAUUACAAAUGUAAAACCUAUUCUAAAGAUAAGCUAGUUGAGGUCGAGGAGGAUUGGACAACCUUUAUGGUCGAGUGUCUUAGUGAGUUUCAUUUUCUUUUCCAACAAUUUUCAUUUGCGUUUUUUAAUUGAGUUAUUUUAAAUUGCAAUUGGUUGUGCUGAAAAUUUUAUGUUAAUUAAUUUUAUGACACAUGAGACUAUAUUGCUCAGAGACUUAAACUGUAAUUGGUUGUGCUGGACUAUAUAGCUCGUCACGAGUCCUCUAAAAUUUAGGUGUUUUUUUGUUUGUAAUUGUGGCUGCUUUUAGGAGCUUUUUUUUUUAUUGGCAAGUUUGGAUUGACUAGUAUUAUGACAUUCAGGAUUAAAUUUAUGAUCAAUUUAUAUUGAGAUUAUCAUGAAUGUAAUUUGCUAUAUUCAUAUUUCA